UUGAGAUGGCCUCUCGCCCUAUUCAGUGUAACAGCUGUGGUAGUGGGUUUGGUCGCUCGCAUUUAAAUUGGAAGGGUAAUGGUGGACCGCACUUCUCCCUUAGUAGGACGUUGCGACCUGUCAAAUAAUAUCCUAAGUAUUUGGCUAAUUUGUCUGUUUUUAGGCAGUACUGAAAGGUAUUUCCUUUAACAGUUUUAGCCGUUUACAUACUGGAUAUAAUUGACAGUAACGAAUCAUGGUGUUGAGCCACUUACUUUGUAAGUGUCCUUUAUGGCUGUUUGCAAGUGGGUUGGUUAAUUAGUUUUAGUCGGAUUUUGGUCCGUCUAACUAUUCCGCCUACUGUUGGUAAACUGUUCCUUGGACAGUGCUUAUAACACCGGUCGGCAGCGAUUCAGGUUCAGGCUCUUAUCCGACCCGUCUUGAAACACGGACCAAGGAGUUUAGCGUGUACGCAAGUCAUUGGGUGUAUAAAACCCAAAGGCGCA
This 485-nucleotide ribosomal RNA is filed under the name Triatoma pseudomaculata. Its description in RNAcentral is "eukaryotic LSU rRNA". It matches the Rfam family "Eukaryotic large subunit ribosomal RNA", at positions 445 to 718 of the family's 3401-position model. Lineage: Eukaryota; Metazoa; Arthropoda; Insecta; Hemiptera; Reduviidae. The record is from RNAcentral.